CCUACGGGCGGCAGCAGUAGGGAAUAUUGCACAAUGAGGGAAACCCUGAAGCAGCAACGCCGCGUGUAGGAUGAAGGUUUUAGGAUUGUAAACUCCUGUUGUUAGAGAAGAUUAUGACGAUAUCUAACGAAUAAGCACCGGCUAACUCCGUGCCAGCAGCCGCGGUAAUACGGAGGGUGAGAGCGUUAAUCGGAAUCACUGGGCGGAAAGGGUGCGGAGGCGUGGUAAUAAGGUAGAUGUGAAAUCCUGUAGCUUAACUACAGGACUGCAUUUGAAACUAUUACUCUGGAGUGUGGGAGAGGUAGGUGGAAUUCUAGGUGUAGGGGUAAAAUCCGUAGAGAUCAAGAGGAAUACUCAGUGCGAAGGCGACCUGCUGGAACAUUACUGACGCUGAUGCACGAAAGCGUGGGGAGCAAACAGGAUUAGAUACCCUAGUAGUC
RNAcentral lists this ribosomal RNA (440 nucleotides) under uncultured bacterium. RNAcentral describes it as "partial 16S ribosomal RNA". It matches the Rfam family "Bacterial small subunit ribosomal RNA", at positions 338 to 795 of the family's 1533-position model. The record is from RNAcentral.